CUCCUACGGGAGGCAGCAGUAGGGAAUCUUCCGCAAUGGACGAAAGUCUGACGGAGCAACGCCGCGUGAACGAUGAAGGCCUUCGGGUCGUAAAGUUCUGUUGUUAGGGAAGAACAAGUAUCAGAGUAACUGCUGGUACCUUGACGGUACCUAACCAGAAAGCCACGGCUAACUACGUGCCAGCAGCCGCGGUAAUACAUAGGUGGCAAGCGUUGUCCGGAAUUAUUGGGCGUAAAGCGCGCGCAGGUGGUUUCUUAAGUCUGAUGUGAAAGCCCACGGCUCAACCGUGGAGGGUCAUUGGAAACUGGGGAACUUGAGUGCAGAAGAGGAAAGUGGAAUUCCAAGUGUAGCGGUGAAAUGCGUAGAGAUUUGGAGGAACACCAGUGGCGAAGGCGACUUUCUGGUCUGUAACUGACACUGAGGCGCGAAAGCGUGGGGAGCGAACAGGAUUAGAUACCCUGGUAGUCCACGCCGUAAACGAUGAGUGCUAAGUGUUAGAGGGUUUCCGCCCUUUAGUGCUGCAGCUAACGCAUUAAGCACUCCGCCUGGGGAGUACGGUCGCAAGACUGAAACUCAAAGGAAUUGACGGGGGCCCGCACAAGCGGUGGAGCAUGUGGUUUAAUUCGAAGCAACGCGAAGAACCUUACCAGGUCUUGACAUCCCACUGACCGGUAUAGAGAUAUACCUUUCCCUUCGGGGACAGUGGUGACAGGUGGUGCAUGGUUGUCGUCAGCUCGUGUCGUGAGAUGUUGGGUUAAGUCCCGCAACGAGCGCAACCCUUGAUCUUAGUUGCCAGCAUUUAGUUGGGCACUCUAAGGUGACUGCCGGUGACAAACCGGAGGAAGGUGGGGAUGACGUCAAAUCAUCAUGCCCCUUAUGACCUGGGCUACACACGUGCUACAAUGGAUGGUACAAAGGGCUGCGAGACUGCGAAGUCAAGCCAAUCCCAUAAAACCAUUCUCAGUUCGGAUUGCAGGCUGCAACUCGCCUGCAUGAAGCUGGAAUCGCUAGUAAUCGUGGAUCAGCAUGCCACGGUGAAUACGUUCCCGGGCCUUGUACACACCGCCCGU
This 1070-nucleotide ribosomal RNA is filed under the name uncultured Bacillus sp. RNAcentral describes it as "bacterial SSU rRNA". It matches the Rfam family "Bacterial small subunit ribosomal RNA", at positions 336 to 1397 of the family's 1533-position model. Lineage: Bacteria; Bacillati; Bacillota; Bacilli; Caryophanales; Bacillaceae. The record is from RNAcentral.